Molecule: ribosomal RNA, 254 nt
Filed under: uncultured bacterium
Lineage: Bacteria
Description: partial 16S ribosomal RNA
Rfam family: Bacterial small subunit ribosomal RNA
Source: RNAcentral
UACGGAGGGGGCUAGCGUUGUUCGGAAUUACUGGGCGUAAAGGGCGCGCAGGCGGCUGCUCAAGUCAGGCGUGAAAGGCCUGGGCUCAACCCGGGAAUUGCGCUUGAGACUGGGCUGGCUUGAGUGCGGGAGAGGAUGGUGGAAUGCUUGGUGUAGAGGUGAAAUUCGUAGAUAUCAAGCGGAACACCGGUGGCGAAGGCGGCCUUCUGGACAGUGACUGACGCUGAGACGCGAAAGCGUGGGGAGCAAACAGG